GACGUAGGGGGCGAGCGUUGUCCGGAAUCACUGGGCGUAAAGAGCACGUAGGCGGGAUAUUAAGUCAGGUGUGAAAGACCGUGGCUCAACCACGGGGUUGCAUUUGAAACUGAUAUUCUUGAGGGCAGGAGAGGACAGUAGAAUUCCUGGUGUAGCGGUGAAAUGCGUAGAAAUCAGGAGGAAUACCGGUGGCGAAGGCGACUGUCUGGACUGACCCUGACGCUGAGGUGCGAAAGCGUGGGUAGCAAACAGGAUUAGAUACCCUGGUAGUCCACGCCGUAAACUAUGGAUACUAGGUGUAGGAGGUAUCGACCCCUUCUGUGCCGCAGCAAACGCAAUAAGUAUCCCGCCUGGGGAGUACGAUCGCAAGGUUGAA
Molecule: ribosomal RNA, 376 nt
Filed under: uncultured bacterium
Lineage: Bacteria
Description: bacterial SSU rRNA
Rfam family: Bacterial small subunit ribosomal RNA
Source: RNAcentral